UUUAUCGGAGAGUUUGAUCCUGGCUCAGGACGAACGCUGGCGGCGUGCCUAAUACAUGCAAGUCGAGCGGACAGAUGGGAGCUUGCUCCCUGAUGUCAGCGGCGGACGGGUGAGUAACACGUGGGUAACCUGCCUGUAAGACUGGGAUAACUCCGGGAAACCGGGGCUAAUACCGGAUGCUUAAUUGAACCGCAUGGUUCAAUUAUAAAAGGUGGCUUCGGCUAUCACUUACAGAUGGACCCGCGGCGCAUUAGCUAGUUGGUGAGGUA
RNAcentral lists this ribosomal RNA (269 nucleotides) under Bacillus paralicheniformis. Its description in RNAcentral is "partial 16S ribosomal RNA". It matches the Rfam family "Bacterial small subunit ribosomal RNA", at positions 1 to 259 of the family's 1533-position model. The record is from RNAcentral. Lineage: Bacteria; Bacillati; Bacillota; Bacilli; Caryophanales; Bacillaceae.